UGGGGUAUAGCUCAGUGGUAGAAUGUGUGCUUAGCAUGCAUGAGGUCCUGGGUUCAAUCCCUAGUGCCUCCA
Molecule: transfer RNA, 72 nt
Filed under: Camelus bactrianus (Bactrian camel)
Lineage: Eukaryota; Metazoa; Chordata; Mammalia; Artiodactyla; Camelidae
Also listed under: 2 other names
Rfam family: tRNA
About the family: Transfer RNA (tRNA) molecules are approximately 80 nucleotides in length. Their secondary structure includes four short double-helical elements and three loops (D, anti-codon, and T loops).
Source: Rfam by way of RNAcentral